AGAAGUAGUCGGUUAGGUCUGGAGCUGUGUGCAUGUAGACUAGAGGUCUAGAGCUGUGUGCAUGUAGACUAGAGGUCUAGAGCUGUGUGCAUGUAGACUAGAGGUCUAGAGCUGUGUGCAUGUAGACUAGAGGUCUAGAGCUGUGUGCAUGUAGACUAGAGGUCUAGAGCUGUGUGCAUGUAGUCUGGAGCUGUGUGCAUGUAGUCUGGAGCUGUGUGCAUGUAGACUAGAGGUCUAGAGCUGUGUGCAUGUAGACUAGAGGUCUAGAGCUGUGUGCAUGUAGACUAGAGGUCUGGAGCUGUGUGCAUGUAGACUAGAGGUCUGGAGCUGUGUGCAUGUAGACUAGAGGUCUAGAGCUGUGUGCAUGUAGACUAGAGGUCUAGAGCUGUGUGCAUGUAGACUGGAGCUGUGUGCAUGUAGUCUGGAGCUGUGUGCAUGUAGACUAGAGGUCUAGAGCUGUGUGCAUGUAGACUAGAGGUCUAGAGCUGUGUGCAUGUAGACUAGAGGUCUAGAGCUGUGUGCAUGUAGACUAGAGGUCUGGAGCUGUGUGCAUGUAGACUAGAGGUCUGGAGCUGUGUGCAUGUAGACUAGAGGUCUGGAGCUGUGUGCAUGUAGACUAGAGGUCUAGAGCUGUGUGCAUGUAGACUAGAGGUCUAGAGCUGUGUGCAUGUAGACUAGAGGUCUAGAGCUGUGUGCAUGUAGACUAGAGGUCUAGAGCUGUGUGCAUGUAGACUAGAGGUCUGGAGCUGUGUGCAUGUAGACUAGAGGUCUAGAGCUGUGUACUUGUAGACUAGAGGUCUGGAGCUGUGUGCAUGUAGACUAGAGGUCUGGAGCUGUGUACUUGUAGACUAGAGGUCUGGAGCUGUGUGCAUGUAGACUAGAGGUCUAGAGCUGUGUGCAUGUAGACUAGAGGUCUGGAGCUGUGUACUUGUAGACUAGAGGUCUCUGGGAUCACAUGCAGACCUACAGAGGGAAACGCCCUUAAUGGAGCUCAGCUAGUUUCUAGUCCACAAAAUGGCUGGACGCGUUAGCAUUAGCAUGCUAGCAGCUUGUAGCUCGCUAUAAAAGACGGGCGGAUAUAAUAACACAUUAUAAUCCUUCAGUCUGCUCAGUAACAUCUCAGUGACAUCUCAGUAACAUCUCAGUAACUCAGUGACAACACAAAGAAUAAUAAACGUGGUUGUUUCCGCCAUCUUCAGUACAUCCGCAUUCCCCCCCCCCCCCCCUCCCUGCAGUCACCCCUCCUCCUCCCCCCUCCUCCUCCUCCAGCACCCCCCCCUCCUCCUCCCGCAGUGGAACUUUCCAGAACCGCUCCAACAGGAACCAGCGCAGUUAGCUUCAGCGGCUACAUGCUAAUGCUAACAGCCUCGGGCGGUACAUUUUGUAAUGUCUUUAAACCGUUAUUAAACCGUUAUUCACCCACAAUUACAUAAUACAAUAUAAAUAGAGUAACGUUAUUCCGCCGGUUGAGUUAACAUUAACAACACCGGAGGUUUCCCGGGCUGGUGGGAAGACCGCGAAAACGCUGCAACAAAGAGCCGCUGAGUGGGGCUGAAUGAUCCGUUAGCAUCAGCUAGCAUCAGCUAGCUCUCUCCGUUAGCAUCAGCUAGCAUCAGCUAGCUCUCUCCGUUAGCAUCAGCUAGCAUCAGCUAGCAUCAGCUAGCUCUCUCCGUUAGCAUCAGCUAGCUCUCUCCGUUAGCAUCAGCUAGCAUCAGCUAGCUCUCUCCGUUAGCAUCAGCUAGCAUCAGCUAGCUCUCUCAGUUAGCAUCAGCUAGCAUCAGUUAGCAUCAGCUAGCUGCCGGGCGGUGUUACCGCUCGACUCCAACAUGGCCCGCGGGCCCUCUGUGGGCCUCCAGCGUGACGCUAAUGUUAGUUAACGUAAUGUUAGUUUAGCUCAACCUGGAGGUGUUAUAAACUAACCGGUGAUUGACUGAUAUUAAUAUUAAUAUAUAUCUGAUCAGAUCAGAUCGAUGAUGUUCAGCCAGUUCCUCCAGACUGAUCAUCAGAUCAUCAACAUCACACAGCCUGACCAUCAUGAACAUCCACUAGAGUCUGAAUAUAAAGUCUGUCCGGCAGGACACCAGAAUAAAGACCCCUCGGUUCUGGUGUCUCUGGUGUCUCGGUUCCGUUAUUCGGUCCCGUUAGCUGGCUGAGAGCCACACACACGUGCACAUGCUCAUUCAAUGUAACGGUGCUCGUGACAGCUCGCAGCCGCUAGCUCGAGAUGCUAACCGGUAACCGAUAACCGGUAACCGGAUCAUCUGCUGCAGCACGAAGACACGGAAACAUAAAGACACGCAGAGCAGAACCGAGACUAAACAUUAACCCGGCUCGUGUGAUAACGGUGCUAGAGAGAGACGGUUCUAACGGGUUCUAGCGGGUUGUUACCUCCAUCACGAUGCGGCCCAUCGGUGAGCCACCGGCGGUGAUGUCGAAGAAGGACUCGUGUCUUGGCCAUGUCAGCAGACUGGAGAGGAGAGAGGACUCUGAGCUGAGCGGGUUAUUAUCUGGAGAGACUCUGCUGGCCACAAGGAACCGAAA
This is a long non-coding RNA of Sebastes umbrosus (honeycomb rockfish), 2541 nucleotides long. RefSeq lists it as uncharacterized. The transcript has 3 exons. The record is from RefSeq and is a predicted model, not a curated record. NCBI's taxonomy places the organism in Eukaryota, Metazoa, Chordata, Actinopteri, Perciformes, Sebastidae.